This is a long non-coding RNA of Triticum dicoccoides, 1469 nucleotides long. RefSeq lists it as uncharacterized. Lineage: Eukaryota; Viridiplantae; Streptophyta; Magnoliopsida; Poales; Poaceae. The record is from RefSeq and is a predicted model, not a curated record. The transcript has 4 exons.
AAGCCGCCGAUAGCAGCGACCCUCUCCCAAGCUACACUGCUCCUGAUCUUCGUCGCCCCACACCGUCGUACUAUGCACAGCUCAGCCUGGCCAUGAUGCUCUUAGCCCGCGGACGCUCACAGCGUAACCGACGGUGGCGACUCACUCCCAACCCGUGUUGCUCUCCAUCAGUGCUGACGGAUUAGUUUGUUUUACAGUGUGGGCACCAGGUCUCUGAGUAGUUUAAAUCUGAACGCAACACCAAGGCUGCCAGCCUGAGCAUUGCCGAACAGUACAGCAAAGCAUUUUCUGAACUUGCUAAAAGCAAACAUGGAAGCUCUCCCUAAUUCAUCGAUUAAAGGUGGCUCACAUAGAUCGUUCUCUUACUGACUAAUUAAUUAGAUUAUGGAUUUUCUUUAUGUUAUUAUUACUGAUCUCAGAUGCUUAGUUUCCAAGUUUAUCUCAAAACUUCACCUUCUAUGAAUGCCCCCAGGUGGUGCAUAUCUAAAAGCUCUUUGUGCAUUCUUAAGAUUUUUGUAUAUGCAUUUGCGUGAAUUGAGCCCGGAUCUGAUAUGGUUUGGCUAUGUUCAUGGUUUUCUUUGGUCAUGUAUGAGUGGAAAAGGGAGGCAGGGAAGUUCCAGUUUGUGAGGACAGUGGCGACAUGGUUGACUGAAUGGCAAUAGGAAGAAGGCACAUCUCAUAUAAUUGUUUUAUUCAAGACAAGUCUACACUCUCUUAUGUCAAAUUUGCACAGAUUUCCCUGCCCUAGGCUAUUUCUAAGGGGGAGAGAAGAGUGUUAUUUUUUGGGGGGGAUUACAAAGAAUGGUAGCGCAUGAGGAGUAUUAGCCACGGAGGAGGGAGGAGACUGACAUGAGGAAAACAUAUUCUGGAUCGAUUUGGUUCUCAUGGUGGCAUCUUCCCUGCUUUCUCCUUUAUUUUUAUUUCCAACACUCUUUGGUACAGAGCGAUUAACAAACAACUGAACUGAAUAUUGCUUUUUCUCCUUUUCAGAUAAGUUAGUUUACAUUAGUUUUCUGUUUGCUUUCCGUAUGGAUCUAUAUAUGUUAUUUUUAUAUCCAGUUUUCUGGGUGCUUUUCAAAAAGGGGGAGACCCAUGGCCGAUAUAGUUGCAUUAAGGUGCAAUUUGAUAACUAAAUACAUAAUAUAAGUCCAUCAAAAUAUUACAUGCAUGUGUGCUGUUUGUGCUUGUAUACCUUCAAUCUGCUUUGUGGAAGGCUGUUCGUAUUAAACUUUAGUGCUCGGUUGUUCAUCAUAGUCCCAUUCCCUUGAUAAUUAAUAUUGAAGCAAUGAAAAAUAGGUGAAAUUGCAAGAAACUUGAAGAAGUGGAGGAACAUGACUCAGUCUGUCAUUGGGGACAUGUACUGUUACAGAUACACUCUGUAUUUCUACCUAUCGUUGGUGUGAUGUUUGAACAUUAAGUUGUCAUUUAAUUAUGGCAUUCCCUUCUGCUUUUGUUUAUGCUAUAACAAU